This 1436-nucleotide ribosomal RNA is filed under the name Klebsiella pneumoniae. RNAcentral describes it as "16S ribosomal RNA". It matches the Rfam family "Bacterial small subunit ribosomal RNA". Lineage: Bacteria; Pseudomonadati; Pseudomonadota; Gammaproteobacteria; Enterobacterales; Enterobacteriaceae. The record is from RNAcentral.
AGAGUUUGAUCAUGGCUCAGAUUGAACGCUGGCGGCAGGCCUAACACAUGCAAGUCGAGCGGUAACACAGAGAGCUUGCUCUCGGGUGACGAGCGGCGGACGGGUGAGUAAUGUCUGGGAAACUGCCUGAUGGAGGGGGAUAACUACUGGAAACGGUAGCUAAUACCGCAUAACGUCGCAAGACCAAAGUGGGGGACCUUCGGGCCUCAUGCCAUCAGAUGUGCCCAGAUGGGAUUAGCUAGUAGGUGGGGUAACGGCUCACCUAGGCGACGAUCCCUAGCUGGUCUGAGAGGAUGACCAGCCACACUGGAACUGAGACACGGUCCAGACUCCUACGGGAGGCAGCAGUGGGGAAUAUUGCACAAUGGGCGCAAGCCUGAUGCAGCCAUGCCGCGUGUGUGAAGAAGGCCUUCGGGUUGUAAAGCACUUUCAGCGGGGAGGAAGGCGGUAAGGUUAAUAACCUUGUCGAUUGACGUUACCCGCAGAAGAAGCACCGGCUAACUCCGUGCCAGCAGCCGCGGUAAUACGGAGGGUGCAAGCGUUAAUCGGAAUUACUGGGCGUAAAGCGCACGCAGGCGGUCUGUCAAGUCGGAUGUGAAAUCCCCGGGCUCAACCUGGGAACUGCAUUCGAAACUGGCAGGCUAGAGUCUUGUAGAGGGGGGUAGAAUUCCAGGUGUAGCGGUGAAAUGCGUAGAGAUCUGGAGGAAUACCGGUGGCGAAGGCGGCCCCCUGGACAAAGACUGACGCUCAGGUGCGAAAGCGUGGGGAGCAAACAGGAUUAGAUACCCUGGUAGUCCACGCCGUAAACGAUGUCGAUUUGGAGGUUGUGCCCUUGAGGCGUGGCUUCCGGAGCUAACGCGUUAAAUCGACCGCCUGGGGAGUACGGCCGCAAGGUUAAAACUCAAAUGAAUUGACGGGGGCCCGCACAAGCGGUGGAGCAUGUGGUUUAAUUCGAUGCAACGCGAAGAACCUUACCUGGUCUUGACAUCCACAGAACUUNNNNNNNNNNNNNNNNNNNNNNNNNNNNNNNNNNNNNGGCCGGGAACUCAAAGGAGACUGCCAGUGAUAAACUGGAGGAAGGUGGGGAUGACGUCAAGUCAUCAUGGCCCUUACGACCAGGGCUACACACGUGCUACAAUGGCAUAUACAAAGAGAAGCGACCUCGCGAGAGCAAGCGGACCUCAUAAAGUAUGUCGUAGUCCGGAUUGGAGUCUGCAACUCGACUCCAUGAAGUCGGAAUCGCUAGUAAUCGUAGAUCAGAAUGCUACGGUGAAUACGUUCCCGGGCCUUGUACACACCGCCCGUCACACCAUGGGAGUGGGUUGCAAAAGAAGUAGGUAGCUUAACCUUCGGGAGGGCGCUUACCACUUUGUGAUUCAUGACUGGGGUGAAGUCGUAACAAGGUAACCGUAGGGGAACCUGCGGUUGGAUCACCU